ACCGGCAGCUCAAGUGGUGGCCAUUUUUAUUGGGCUUAAAGCGUUCGUAGCUGGUUUGAUAAGUCUCUGGUGAAAUCCUCCAGCUCAACCGUGAGACUUCUUAGGGAUACUGUCAGACUAGGGACCGGAAGAGGUGAGAGGUACUCCCGGGGUAGGAGUGAAAUCCUGUAAUCCUUGGGGGACCACCUGUGGCGAAGGCGCCUAACCGGAACGGAUCUGACAGUGAGGAACGAAAGCCAGGGGAGCAAACCG
RNAcentral lists this ribosomal RNA (252 nucleotides) under uncultured prokaryote. RNAcentral describes it as "partial 16S rRNA". It matches the Rfam family "Archaeal small subunit ribosomal RNA", at positions 475 to 726 of the family's 1478-position model. The record is from RNAcentral.